This 21-nucleotide microRNA is filed under the name Callithrix jacchus (white-tufted-ear marmoset). RNAcentral's name for it is "cja-miR-548w". Its record names the gene cja-miR-548w. Lineage: Eukaryota; Metazoa; Chordata; Mammalia; Primates; Cebidae. The record is from miRBase by way of RNAcentral.
AUGGCCAAAAUGGCGAUUACU